GCUGCUUGCCUCUGAGCUUUUUUCUUUCCUUUUCUGAUUUGGUGGCUUGGCAAAAACAAUUUCAAUAUUUUCUCCCUCCAAGUCUUUACCAUUCAUUUCUUCCAUAGCCUUGACAGCACCAUCUCACUCACCAAAAUGAAUGAAUGGAUAAUCUUUUAACUUCUUCACUCAUUCCAGUUUCCCAAACUGACUAAAUGCCUUUUCUAAAAUCUCUUCCGUUACAGUAUUGGCAAGGUUGCGUACAAACAGCACUUUUACCUUUGCCAUAACCUCAGGAUCAGGAUCUUCCAUAGGAUCAGCCCAUUCAACAGUUCCAACAUUCCCCCAGACCUUGACUUUACCACUCAUUAACCUACGCCUUGCCUGGGCAGCUGUUUUGUGAUCUUCAUAUUCAAGAAAGCAAAAGCCUGUUUUUUUUCUUGUCAUCCGGUUGGUGGUAUAAAAUGACGUCUGUAAGACCCUCUGUUACUUUUGCUAAAUUCUUCAAGAAUCUGUUCCUUGGUUUUAACUCUUAGGAAUAGAGCCCACAAAAAGCCUAUUGUUGGCAACUGAGAUGCAGACACCAAUGUGUUUUCCAGAACGAAUUUCAUGAUUAUUAUACAGUUUUAACAGCCUCCCGAGCUGCUUUUGUACAAAAAGUGACAAACACAUAACCUCUAUUGAGACCAGUGAGUGGAUCCAUCAUUAGACGAAGAUCCCAUAUAGGACCAGCUUUCUCAAAUAAUGGAACAAGUUCAUCCUCAAAUAGAUCUCUUGGGAUCUUUCCCACAAAUAUCUCAGUGCCAACAGAAGGCUGCUGACCUGAAUAAACGGAAUCUGGAGGUGGUCCUCCAUAUUUCCUCUGUCCAGUGGUCACAUCAAGUGUGUAGCCUGCUCUUUCCAAGAGUGCCUUAAUUUUUGCCUCAUCUGGUCCUUUACUAGAAUCUGCUACUUUGGUCCCUUGUUUUUCUCUCUGCCUAUAAGGUUUCAUGACUCCACAUAAAAAGGCACUUUUGUUCUGAACACGAGAGAGAUCACUGUCUUUAACUGUUGAAGAACUGCCAAUGCACCGUCUUCAUUGAAUUCUUUUAAAGCUUCAAUAGCUCUUUCAUCUAAAUGACUAUGUGCAACUAAUCUCCCCGUUGGACUGAGGGGGAGGAAUCCUGUCCGAUGGUACCAGGUUGCAAGAAAGGCGUGCUCGCUGCUCCCUGUGUCUGGC
RNAcentral lists this long non-coding RNA (1198 nucleotides) under Homo sapiens (human). RNAcentral's name for it is "HSALNT0263953". Lineage: Eukaryota; Metazoa; Chordata; Mammalia; Primates; Hominidae. The record is from RNAcentral.